CUCCAGCCUGGGCGACAGGGCGAGACCUGGAGUGCAGGCACAAUUAUGGCUCCCUGCAGCCUUGACCUCCCCAAGUUCAGGUGAUCCUCCCACCUCAGUUUUUCUAUUUUUAGUAGAGGCCUCCACCUCCCGGGUUCAAGAGAAUCACUUGAGCCCCAGAGGCAAAGGUUUCAGUAAGCCGAGAUCGUGCCACUGCACUCUAGCUUGGGCUACAGAGUGAGACUCCAUCUCACACACACAAAAGAAAUGAAAACAACAAUUUGUACAUGAGUUCAAAACAGAAUUAUUUAUUUAUUUCCCAAACUAGAAACAAUCCAAAUGUCUAUCAACAGAUAAAUGGAUAAGCAAAUGAUGACACAAUUGCAUUAAUGGAAUACCACUCAGCAAUGAAAAGGAACAAACCACUCAUACCUGCAACAACACAGAUGAGCCUCAGAAACGUGAUGCUAAGUGAAAGAAGCCAGACCAAAAAAAUUACAUGCUAUUAUUCCAUUUCAAUGAAAUUUCUGGAAAAGGCAAAAACCAUGCAAAGUAGAUCAGAGGUUGGCUGGGGGUGAGAGCAGAGACUGACUACAAAUAGGCCCAAAGGAACGUUUUGGGUGAUGGAAGUUUUCUAUAAGUGGAUUAUGGUGAUGGCUACACAACAGUAUAAAUUAAAGGUCAUCCAAAU
This 670-nucleotide long non-coding RNA is filed under the name Pan troglodytes (chimpanzee). RNAcentral's name for it is "lincRNA". Lineage: Eukaryota; Metazoa; Chordata; Mammalia; Primates; Hominidae. The record is from RNAcentral.